AUGAACGCUAGCGGCAGGCUUAAUACAUGCAAGUUGAGGGGCAGCAUGAUAUACGCGAGUAUAUUGAUGGCGACCGGCGGACGGGUGAGUAAUAGGUAGGAGACCUACCUCAUACAGGGGGAUAGCAUAGAGAAAUCUGUGGUAAUACCCCAUGAGGUUAUAUGAAUAGAGGCAUAUAAUCAAAGCAUAAGCGAUUAUGCGGUAUGAGAGGGGCCUACUGACCAUUAGCUAGUUGGUGAGGUAAGGGCUCACCAAGGCGAAGAUGGUUAGGGGUUUUGAGAGAGAGACCCCCCACAUUGGAACUGAGAGACGGUCCAGACUCCUACGGGAGGCAGCAGUAGGGAAUAUUGGGCAAUGGGCGAAAGCCUGACCCAGCCAUGCCGCGUGAAGGAAGACGGCCUUAUGGGUUGUAAACUUCUUUACCACGCGAAUAGAGGUUAGUACGAGAUACUAAUAGGAAGGUAGUGUAGUAAAAAGCACCGGCUAACUCCGUG
RNAcentral lists this ribosomal RNA (494 nucleotides) under uncultured bacterium. RNAcentral describes it as "bacterial SSU rRNA". It matches the Rfam family "Bacterial small subunit ribosomal RNA", at positions 30 to 507 of the family's 1533-position model. The record is from RNAcentral.